GCCACCCUCUUCUCUCACACUCACUCGGGCUGUCGGGCAUCAAGAAGCCCUUUUCUGAAGACGAGAGAAUCCCUAAAAAAGCCCUAUUUUCCUCUGCCACUCUCAAUCCUCGCAGGUAUGGAUUCACCAAUCUUCUUGUGCUACUGCUUACAACCCCAGCAAUCAUCAGCGGUAAAAAUGCCAUAUAAUUUCGCCUUCUUCUGUCUCGCUGAAAAUGGAGAUGAAAAUCAAGCACAACCCAUUAGAGUGAGAGAGAGAGAGAAAUGUUAUUAAAUGAUUUUGUUCUGAUAGAAUCUUAUUUAGGAAAAGGCUGCUCUCUAGUUUUAUUAGAAAAUGAAAAAUUAUGCAGUACAAGAGUUCAACAUGGAUUUCAUUUUAAAUGCAUUAUGAAUAGAAUAAAUGAAUAUAGAAUAAUAUAGCAUGAGUAAUCAUAUCAGUC
Molecule: long non-coding RNA, 439 nt
Organism: Vitis vinifera (wine grape)
Lineage: Eukaryota; Viridiplantae; Streptophyta; Magnoliopsida; Vitales; Vitaceae
Exons: 2
Source: RefSeq, a predicted model, not a curated record